GAUAGUUGUAUGAAAGGUAAAUCAGAAGGCUUAAAACAAGGUAUGCAAGCAUUUGAGCUAAGUAUUAUGGUGUGGGUAUGCUUAUGGAGCAUCCUUGAGUGCUAAGUUUAAAUGGGGCUAUUGAUAUAGAAAUUGAUGUUCUUACCAGCUCUGUUAUGGACUAUAAGAUGUUGCUAUCAGAUGUUCAGGUGCAAUAGUAGUUCUCAUGGUUUAGC
Molecule: long non-coding RNA, 215 nt
Filed under: Capsicum annuum
Lineage: Eukaryota; Viridiplantae; Streptophyta; Magnoliopsida; Solanales; Solanaceae
Description: long non-coding RNA (CANN_LNC000423)
Source: RNAcentral